RNAcentral lists this small RNA (490 nucleotides) under Arabidopsis thaliana (thale cress). RNAcentral describes it as "ATSL103740". The record is from RNAcentral. Lineage: Eukaryota; Viridiplantae; Streptophyta; Magnoliopsida; Brassicales; Brassicaceae.
GAACUCCCACUCUUCCACUUGCCUCUGAGUUUUACAAUUCAUUUUCAUACGCUUCAUUAGUCUCUAAUUGUUUUAGGCCCAUCAGCAAAAAUAUAUACAAACAAGCCUGCAACUUCUUCUUUUUCUUGGCAACUAUAAGCCGGAUCAUUUAUGGGAUUAGCAUAUUAAAGUCUGUGCUUUUGUAGAUAUAGGAACAUCUCAUGUUUCUUACAAAUUUAGGUACUUUUAUAUUAUAUGGAUGACUGUUUUAUCCUUCAAUCUAAUUGAGUUUCUUCUCCUUGUACCUUCAAUCUAAUUGAGGAGAAUUCAUCAAUAUCAAUCGAUCUCAGAAAUGUGCGAUUAUUUCUCUCUCUUUCUCUUUCUCUAAUGGCAUGGAAUCUAUUGCCUCUAAACUCACCAUUGAUGUCCAUUGCUUCUCCAUCACCUUACAAAAUUCAGAUCUAUGCUUGGCCAAUCUUCUUCCUCGACGAUGCAGGUGGUAAUCUUCCAU